This 253-nucleotide ribosomal RNA is filed under the name uncultured bacterium. Its description in RNAcentral is "partial 16S ribosomal RNA". It matches the Rfam family "Bacterial small subunit ribosomal RNA", at positions 524 to 776 of the family's 1533-position model. The record is from RNAcentral.
UACGGAAGGGGCUAGCGUUGUUCGGAAUUACUGGGCGUAAAGAGCGCGUAGGCGGCUUACCAAGUUGGGGGUGAAAUCCCGGAGCUCAACUCCGGAACUGCCUUCAAAACUGGUAGGCUGGAGUCCGGAAGAGGGGCGUGGAAUACCCAGUGUAGAGGUGAAAUUCGUAGAUAUUGGGAAGAACACCGGUGGCGAAGGCGGCGCCCUGGUCCGGUACUGACUCUGAGGCGCGAAAGAGUGGGGAGCAAACAGG